GGGGGGGGGGGGGGGGGGGGGGGGGGGGGGCGGGGCGGGCGGGGGGGGCGGGUGUGGGGGCGGGCGGGGGCGUGACGGGUGGGGACCGGCGCUUGGGUGCGGCCUAACUCCCCGAGGGGGGUUCUCCUACCGGAUAGUGUCUGCGUGCCACGUCUUUCUAGCCUUUUGAUGGGCCCGCGUGGGGUGCGCUAGUUGGUAGGGUAAAGGCCUCCCCAGGCGCCGAUCCAUAGCUGUUCUGAGAGGAGGAUCAGCCAAACUGGGACUGAGACACGGCCCAGACGCCUACGGGAGGCAGCAGUGGGGAAUAUUGGACAAUGGGCGAAAGCCUGAUCCAGCAAUGCCGCGUGAGUGAUGAAGGCCUUAGGGUUGUAAAGCUCUUUUACCCGGGAUGAUAAUGACAGUACCGGGAGAAUAAGCUCCGGCUAACUCCGUG
RNAcentral lists this ribosomal RNA (433 nucleotides) under uncultured bacterium. RNAcentral's name for it is "partial 16S ribosomal RNA". It matches the Rfam family "Bacterial small subunit ribosomal RNA", at positions 35 to 507 of the family's 1533-position model. The record is from RNAcentral.